GUGUCAGCCGCCGCGGUAAGACAGAGGUGCCAAGCGUUAGGCGGAAUCACUGGGCUUAAAGCGUGUGUAGGCGGAUCGUUAAGUGCUUUGUGAAAUCCCACGGCUCAACCGUGGAAUUGCUUGGCAUACUGGCGAUCUUGAGCCACUUAGGGGCAACUGGAACAAACGGUGGAGCGGUGAAAUGCGUAGAUAUCGUUUGGAACGCCAAUGGUGAAAACAGGUUGCUGGGAGUGUGCUGACGCUGAGACACGAAAGCCAGGGGAGCAAACGGGAUUAGAUACCCCAGUAGUCC
This 292-nucleotide ribosomal RNA is filed under the name uncultured bacterium. RNAcentral's name for it is "partial 16S ribosomal RNA". It matches the Rfam family "Bacterial small subunit ribosomal RNA", at positions 505 to 796 of the family's 1533-position model. The record is from RNAcentral.